GGUUCCGUGGUCUAGUUGGUUACGACGUCUGCUUCACAAGCUCUUGCUAAGAUCGCAGAAGGUCCUGGGUUCGAGCCCCAGCGGAGCCA
Molecule: transfer RNA, 89 nt
Filed under: Ophiostoma piceae UAMH 11346
Lineage: Eukaryota; Fungi; Ascomycota; Sordariomycetes; Ophiostomatales; Ophiostomataceae
Rfam family: tRNA
About the family: Transfer RNA (tRNA) molecules are approximately 80 nucleotides in length. Their secondary structure includes four short double-helical elements and three loops (D, anti-codon, and T loops). Further hydrogen bonds mediate the characteristic L-shaped molecular structure. tRNAs have two regions of fundamental functional importance: the anti-codon, which is responsible for specific mRNA codon recognition, and the 3' end, to which the tRNAs corresponding amino acid is attached (by aminoacyl-tRNA synthetases). tRNAs cope with the degeneracy of the genetic code in two manners: having more than one tRNA (with a specific anti-codon) for a particular amino acid; and 'wobble' base-pairing, i.e. permitting non-standard base-pairing at the 3rd anti-codon position.
Source: Rfam by way of RNAcentral